ACAGUGCGAACGUAGAACGGGCGACGCGGGUCAAAGUGUGGUAUCUGUUCUUGUCAGCUUAAUAUCUGAUACGGCAUGUAUUCGGACAUAAGAUAUUACACUUAUUUUUGCAAGUUGGUGCAGAGCUUAACGCCUGAUUCACCUCCUCCGCUGGUCGGCGCGGUAUUGCACUAGCUUCGGGAUCGGGCCACAUAUG
This is a small nuclear RNA of Dermacentor albipictus, 196 nucleotides long. RefSeq annotates it as U2 spliceosomal RNA. The record is from RefSeq and is a predicted model, not a curated record. Lineage: Eukaryota; Metazoa; Arthropoda; Arachnida; Ixodida; Ixodidae.